Molecule: ribosomal RNA, 492 nt
Filed under: uncultured bacterium
Lineage: Bacteria
Description: partial 16S ribosomal RNA
Rfam family: Bacterial small subunit ribosomal RNA
Source: RNAcentral
AGUGAACGCUGGCGGUAGGCCUAACACAUGCAAGUCGAACGGCAGCACAGUAAGAGCUUGCUCUUACGGGUGGCGAGUGGCGGACGGGUGAGGAAUACAUCGGAAUCUACUUUUUCGUGGGGGAUAACGUAGGGAAACUUACGCUAAUACCGCAUACGACCUACGGGUGAAAGCAGGGGAUCUUCGGACCUUGCGCGAUUGAAUGAGCCGAUGUCGGAUUAGCUAGUUGGCGGGGUAAAGGCCCACCAAGGCGACGAUCCGUAGCUGGUCUGAGAGGAUGGUCAGCCACACUGGAACGGAGACACGGUCCAGACUCCUACGGGAGGCAGCAGAGGGGAAUAUUGGACAGUGGGCGCAAGCCUGAUCCAGCCAUACCGCGUGGGUGGAGAAGGCCUUCGGGUUGUAAAGCCCUUUUGUUGGGAAAGAAAAGCAGCAGGUUAAUACCCCGCUGUUCUGACGGUACCCAAAGAAUAAGCACCGGCUAACUUCGUG